This 462-nucleotide ribosomal RNA is filed under the name uncultured bacterium. Its description in RNAcentral is "bacterial SSU rRNA". It matches the Rfam family "Bacterial small subunit ribosomal RNA", at positions 30 to 490 of the family's 1533-position model. The record is from RNAcentral.
AUUGAACGCUGGCGGAAUGCUUUACACAUGCAAGUCGAACGGUAGAGGGGGCAACCCCUUGAGAGUGGCGAACGGGUGAGUAAUAUAUCGGAACGUGCCCAGUCGUGGGGGAUAACGUAGCGAAAGUUACGCUAAUACCGCAUACGAUCUAAGGAUGAAAGCGGGGGACCGUAAGGCCUCGCGCGAUUGGAGCGGCCGAUAUCAGAUUAGCUAGUUGGUGGGUAAAGGCCCACCAAGGCGACGAUCUGUAGCUGGUCUGAGAGGACGACCAGCCACACUGGGACUGAGACACGGCCCAGACUCCUACGGGAGGCAGCAGUGGGGAAUUUUGGACAAUGGGCGCAAGCCUGAUCCAGCAAUGCCGCGUGCAGGAAGAAGGCCUUCGGGUUGUAAACGUGCUUUGUUACGGAACGAAAAGGUCUGGGUUAAUACCUGGGCUCAUGACGGUACCGUAAGAAUAAG